CGGGACGGGGUGGAGUAAUGUCUGGGAAACGUGCCUGAUGGAGGGGGAUAACUGCUGGAAACGGUAGCUAAUACCGCAUAACGUCGCAAGACCAAAGAGGGGGACCUUCGGGCCUCUUACCAUCGGAUGUGCCCAGAUGGGAUUAGCUAGUAGGUGGGGUAACGGCUCACCUAGGCGACGAUCCCUAGCUGGUCUGAGAGGAUGACCAGCCACACUGGAACUGAGACACGGUCCAG
RNAcentral lists this ribosomal RNA (236 nucleotides) under uncultured bacterium. RNAcentral describes it as "partial 16S ribosomal RNA". It matches the Rfam family "Bacterial small subunit ribosomal RNA", at positions 104 to 334 of the family's 1533-position model. The record is from RNAcentral.